AGCGAACGCUGGCGGCAGGCUUAACACAUGCAAGUCGAGCGGGCACUUUCGGGUGUCCGCGGCGGACGGGUGAGUAACGCGUGGGAACGUGCCCUCUGGUUCGGAAUAACUCAGGGAAACUUGAGCUAAUACCGGAUACGCCCUUUUGGGGAAAGGCUUGCUGCCGGAGGAUCGGCCCGCGUCUGAUUAGCUAGUUGGUGAGGUAACGGCUCACCAAGGCGACGAUCAGUAGCUGGUCUGAGAGGAUGAUCAGCCACACUGGGACUGAGACACGGCCCAGACUCCUACGGGAGGCAGCAGUGGGGAAUAUUGGACAAUGGGCGCAAGCCUGAUCCAGCCAUGUCGCGUGAGUGAUGAAGGCCUUAGGGUUGUAAAGCUCUUUUAUCCGGGACGAUAAUGACGGUACCGGAGGAAUAAGCCCCGGCUAACUUCGUG
This 435-nucleotide ribosomal RNA is filed under the name uncultured bacterium. RNAcentral's name for it is "partial 16S ribosomal RNA". It matches the Rfam family "Bacterial small subunit ribosomal RNA", at positions 29 to 507 of the family's 1533-position model. The record is from RNAcentral.